UCAGUAGUGAAGAGACUGUAAACAAGCAGAAGGGAGAAGAAGAAGGUCAGAGGCAGACAGAGAGGGAAGAAGAAGGGACUCGUGUGUCCGCUCUGGAUGGUAACAUCAAACCCAGGGAAGUGAUUAUACCCCUCUUUGAGACUAAAGACAUUGACAGAACAAAAGAAGAAGGUUUUGUCGAGGGCAAAAAUCAACGUUCAAGCUGCAGGUUUGGAGUUGAUCCAUGAUGCGGUCAUACCUCGCUCUGCUGCUCGGGAUUGUGGCAUCUGCUGCUUCAGCAGAAUGGAGGCGUCCAGUGAUCAAGUGGAACUCUAAGGUGGUGGCAGGCUCUGAGGUGGUGGUCCGAUUCGGGAGCCCUCUGGAUCUGAGGUGUGAGGGGGACCGGCCUGUAACCUGGCAAACGCGGUUACCAAAACACAGACGCUACAUUUCCAAGGACAAUGGGAACAUCCGCACAUUGAAGGUGGAACGUCCCACUGCAGAAUUCACCGGAACCUACAAAUGUGUUUACACCACUGGGUCACAGCAACUCACCUCCUCAGUGCAUGUGUAUGUAAAAGACCCAAACCGUGUGUUCUGGACUAGCAGCACGUCUGUGCAGGUGGUGAGGAAGGAAGGGGAGGACUACCUGCUGCCCUGCCUGCUGACAGAUCCCGCCGCCACAGACCUGGGCCUCCGCAUGGACAACGGCACCUCCGUGCCACCGGGGAUGAACUUUACAGUUUACCGGCACCGUGGUAUCCUCAUCCACCAGCUCCAUCCCAGCUACAAUACUGACUAUGUCUGCACAGCCAGGGUCAACGGCGUAGAGAAGACCUCCAAGGCCUUUUCUAUCAAUGUCAUUCAGAAGCUUCGUUACCCUCCAUAUGUCGUCUUGGAGACGGAUGAAAAUGUGCGCAUUGUUGGGGAGAAACUCAAGAUUUGCUGCACAACACACAACCCGAACUUCAACUACAACGUCACGUGGAAAUACACCACCAAGUCGAAACCCACCAUAGAGGAGAACGUUCGCUCCAAUGGAGAAAACCGCCUGGACAUAGAGAGCAUCCUGACCAUUGCUGCUGUGGACCUGGCAGACACCGGAAAUAUUACGUGCACUGGCACUAAUGAAGCAGGGGUGAACAGUUCAACCACAUACCUGCUGGUCGUAGACAAAGCCUACAUCAGGCUGUUGCCUCAGCUCUCCCCUAAACUGGCCCAUCAGGGGCUUUCACUGGAAGUGAACGAGGGCGAAGAUCUGGAGCUCACUGUGUUCAUCGAAGCGUACCCCCACAUUACGGCGCAUCGAUGGCUCACCCCAACAUCCCCCAACACCUCCACACAGGAGCAGAAGCUCAUCAGAUACAACAACAGAUACCAUGCUACUCUGCAGCUGAAGAGAAUGAAUGCUCAGGAGCAAGGGCAAUACAUAUUGUAUGCCCAGAGUGACUUGGCCAAUGCAUCCAUCAAAUUCCAAGUCCAGAUGUAUCAGAGACCUGUUGCUGUGGUUAGAUGGGAAAACAUAACCACCCUCACUUGCACCUCAUUUGGCUAUCCUGCUCCCAGAAUCAUCUGGUACCAGUGUUUCGGGAUAAGGCCUACGUGCAAUGAAAACACCUCAGGGCUGCAGCUGGCCAUCCCUCUCCAGGCCCCCACGGUGGAGGUCCAGAGGGAGGAGUUCGGGGCCGUGGAGGUGGAGAGCGUCCUCACCGUGGGCCGGUCCACCCGCAGGAUGACGGUCGAGUGUGUGGCUUUCAACCUUGUUGGCAUCAGCAGCGACACUUUUGCCAUGGAGGUUUCUGACAAACUAUUCUCUUCCACCUUAACUGGAUCAGCAGGAAUUCUGGCCAUCCUCCUUGUGCUUCUUGUUUUCCUAUUAUACAAAUAUAAGCAGAAACCCAGGUAUGAGAUCCGUUGGCAGAUCAUUGAGGCAAGAGAUGGAAACAACUACACCUUCAUUGACCCCACCCAGCUGCCCUACAAUGAGAAGUGGGAGUUCCCAAGAGACAAGCUGAAGUUAGGGAAGAUCCUGGGUGCAGGAGCUUUUGGAAAGGUCGUUGAGGCCACAGCCUACGGCCUGGGAAUGGAAGAGAAUGAGUUGCGUGUAGCUGUGAAAAUGUUAAAAGCGAGCGCCCACUCAGAUGAGAGGGAAGCUCUGAUGUCUGAACUGAAGAUAUUGAGCCACCUGGGACAUCACAAGAACAUCGUCAACCUACUGGGAGCCUGCACGUACGGAGGACCGGUGCUUGUGAUCACGGAGUACUGCAGCCUCGGCGACCUCCUGAACUUCCUUCGCCAAAAGGCAGAGAAGUUCGAGAACUUUGUAAUGAGUGUUCCUGACACUGCGGACGACUCUAAUGACUACAAGAACGUCUGCAGUGACAAAGAGUUCAUCAGAAGUGACAGUGGUAUCUCCAGUGCUUCUUCGAGCAGUUACUUAGAGAUGAGACCAACCACGGUGCAGAGUAUCGAAUCAUCUCCAGACUAUGUGUCUGAGGAGGCUGCUGACUGGCCCCUGGACAUUGACGACUUGCUGAGGUUUUCCUAUCAAGUGGCUCAGGGCCUUGACUUUCUAGCUGCCCAAAACUGUAUUCACAGAGACGUGGCUGCCAGGAAUGUCCUCUUGACCGACCGCAGAGAGGCUAAGAUUUGUGACUUUGGCCUGGCCCGUGACAUCAUGAAUGACUCCAACUAUGUGGUGAAAGGCAAUGCCCGUCUGCCAGUGAAGUGGAUGGCUCCAGAGAGCAUCUUUGACUGUGUCUACACCAUCCAGAGUGAUGUCUGGUCUUACGGCAUCCUCCUGUGGGAGAUCUUCUCAUUAGGCAAGAGCCCCUAUCCCAGUGUGGCUGUUGACUCCAGGUUCUACAAGAUGGUGAGGCGUGGCUACCAGAUGUGCCAACCAAACUUUGCCCCAGCUGAGAUAGGACCCUAACAUCUGUGUGUGCUGAUUUGGCGCGGCUGUCACACCACCGCGGAACAAGCGUGGAGAGGACUGAAUCUGAGUCAGAGCCUCCUCAUCUGUUGUUCUGCUGUUUGUCAGGCCUCAGUGCUGCCUGUUAGCCACAUGAUCUCAAAGCUAGGAAGCCAUAUAACUGCUAUUUCACGGCAGCGUACUGAGACUGGAGGGGAAGGGGUUCUUAUGAAGGAGUCUCUCUUAUCAAACUGCAUUACCACCUCCAUAAGCCUCUCUUUUUUUUGACUUUAUACAGCUUCCUGAUUUUACACCACAAAGUUUGAGAAAAGUCGAGUUAAGAAUAUAACCCCCUUAAAAUGUAUAGCUUAAAUGUUUUUUUGUCCUGGAAACUUCUCUAAAAAUAAAUCAGUUUUGUAAUACCGUUUUUUUUCCAGCUAUACAAUCAUGAAGAUGUGCUGGAAUGUGGAGCCGACAGAUCGUCCCACAUUUAGCAAGAUCAGUCAGAUGAUAGAGAGACUACUCGGGGAGCAGUCUGAGCGGGGAACAGCUAAUCUACCAGAAUGUGCCGCAGGAAGUCACAGAGGGUGAAGUGUGUGACGCGCCCAAGUCGUGCGACGGGCCCUGUGACCGGUCUUGUGACCACGAGGAAGAGGAGCAGCCUCUGAUGAAAACCAACAACUAUCAGUUUUGUUGAAAGCUAACCGCCAAUCAAUACGAAAAGAAAAAAAAAGCUCAUCAGCAAGCAUCAGGGACGUGGGAUCAGCUGUAGCCUGAUGCCAGGGUACCACAGCUUGUUCUAACCACCGGACAGUCGCAGAGAGUCAUAGCUAUUUUUUGCCUGUUUGCUGUUCGCCAGACAGACAAGCAGCAGCAGCAGCAAUCAUGUGACUUGCUUCUUUGCAGACCAUGACUACAAAUUGCCACGUCUAACACUGACUGAAGAAAUGAAAGGAGGAAACAUGUCAACUAACUGCACAAUUAUCCAAAGAUCCACCACAGACUCUUUAUUCCUACUUCUGAUGUGUAUUUGAGGUAUAAUCUGUUAUCAAAAGGAUAUCCGUUAGUCCUUUCCAGGGACGUAGCACAAAAUGAAGAACCCUUACAGUCCUUACGGGCCCCUAGCACAACCACAGCUAUUCAUUCUCAUAUUUUGUGUUGGCCUUCCUCAUGUGAGGGCCUUGUAUACUCAGUACCCUAUUUUCCCCAGUCCUACACCCCUGGUCAUUUUCCUCAGAGAGUGUUCCUAUUAUAUAUUGUACACUGUGUAUUUUUGUAUUACUGCCUUAUGAUAGUUUAUGCCUGGUUUUUGUGGAGAUAUCAGUCAGGUUCCCUUCCUUUUUACUAUGCUAUUGCAUGUAUGGUUUUUCAGAGGAAGAAACCCAGCGGUCACAUUAGAUCCACAAUAACAGCUGCUCAUCUUUAUAUGCUGUAGACACCUCAAAAGAACAUCUAAAUAGUGCGAGUGUUUAUCCCUGUUUUUAACGUGCAAAAUCAACUGUGGAGAAGCCAAAGAAUGGCCAUGUUGUUUUGCUCGCUGUGGUUUGGUCAUAGCUGUGUUUCUUGUUACAUACUUACAGCAGCUGUCAGUUGGUGGCAACAUGUGAUUCAUCCACCUCUAUCUAAUGAAUUAAGCAUUGUUAAGUGUGAUUUAGGAGCAGGGAAAUCCGUUCUGGAUCAGGUGAACAAUGUUUCAUGUUUGACAAUGUGAAAUAAUUUUUUGUUUUUUGUGCGGCACAACUUAUCCUCUCCGAUGUCUGUAUGUAGCGGACAGCCUUCACUGCCAACUGUUUGAAGAUAUUAGAUUAACGUAGAAGAUUUUAGGAUAACCUAUAAGCUAUGUGAGAUACAGACUGCAAAUGUGUGUGUCUUCAGGCAUUUCAAUUGUGCUUGCAUCUGAAUGAAACACGAGUGAGGUGUCUAAUAAUGUAUACAUCUCAUGAUGUAAAUCAAGAAUUAUCUAGAUUUUCGCUGGAAUGUUGUAGAGUAAAUAUUUCGGUACCACUUUACAAUAAGACUACCCUUAUAAAGGGUUUACGAAUAGUUUGUAAUUCAUUUAUUAAUUAGGUUGUGAACACUUUAUAAAUCAUUAAUAAGCUUUUACAAGACAUGAGAUAAACAGGGCAACUGUGACCGGUUUCUUGCCAAAUAGUGA
RNA transcript from Gymnodraco acuticeps, 5045 nucleotides. It is a transcript of the gene named macrophage colony-stimulating factor 1 receptor 1-like, with no coding region annotated. Lineage: Eukaryota; Metazoa; Chordata; Actinopteri; Perciformes; Bathydraconidae. The record is from RefSeq and is a predicted model, not a curated record. The transcript is spliced from 22 exons.